GAUGAACGCUGGCGGCGUGCCUAACACAUGCAAGUCGAGCGAACCCUUCGGGGUGAGCGGCGGACGGGUGAGUAACGCGUGGGUAACCUGCCCUAUACACACGGAUAACGUACCGAAAGGUACGCUAAUACGGGAUAAAGUUGUUGGAUGGCAUCUUCUAACAAUCAAAGCUCCGGCGGUAUAGGAUGGACCCGCGUCUGAUUAGCUAGUUGGUGAGGUAAUGGCUCACCAAGGCGACGAUCAGUAGCCGACCUGAGAGGGUGAUCGGCCACACUGGAACUGAGACACGGUCCAGACUCCUACGGGAGGCAGCAGUGGGGAAUAUUGCACAAUGGGCGAAAGCCUGAUGCAGCAACGCCGCGUGAGCAAUGAAGGUCUUCGGAUCGUAAAGCUCUGUCCUCAAGGAAGAUAAUGACGGUACUUGAGGAGGAAGCCCCGGCUAACUACGUGCCAGCAGCCGCCGCAG
RNAcentral lists this ribosomal RNA (466 nucleotides) under uncultured bacterium. RNAcentral's name for it is "partial 16S ribosomal RNA". It matches the Rfam family "Bacterial small subunit ribosomal RNA", at positions 28 to 523 of the family's 1533-position model. The record is from RNAcentral.